GACGAACGCUGGCGGCGUGCUUAACACAUGCAAGUCGAACGGUGAAGCGCCUUCCUUUUUGGUGGGUGUGGAUGAGUGGCGAACGGGUGAGUAACACGUGAGUAACCUGCCCCCUUCUUCUGGAUAACCGCAUGAAAGUGUGGCUAAUACGGGAUAUUCUGGGUCUGUCGCAUGAUGGGUCUGGGAAAGAUAUUGUUUCGGUGGGGGAUGGGCUCGCGGCCUAUCAGCUUGUUGGUGGGGUGAUGGCCUACCAAGGCGGUGACGGGUAGCCGGCCUGAGAGGGUGGACGGUCACACUGGGACUGAGACACGGCCCAGACUCCUACGGGAGGCAGCAGUGGGGAAUAUUGCACAAUGGGCGCAAGCCUGAUGCAGCGACGCCGCGUGAGGGAUGGAGGCCUUCGGGUUGUGAACCUCUUUCGCCAGUGAAGCAGGCCUGCCUCGUUUGUGGGUGGGUUGACGGUAGCUGGAGAAGAAGCGCAGGCUAACUACGUG
This 494-nucleotide ribosomal RNA is filed under the name uncultured bacterium. RNAcentral's name for it is "partial 16S ribosomal RNA". It matches the Rfam family "Bacterial small subunit ribosomal RNA", at positions 28 to 507 of the family's 1533-position model. The record is from RNAcentral.